UUGAACUUUAAUGAAGAGUUUGGUUGUAGCUGGCCCAUUCAUUUGGGCAUGUGCACACCUUCCUCUUUCAUCCCACACACACCUGUGAACCUGUGAGACAGAGAUGGGGAAUUUACUUGCUGCUUUUUGGAUACAAAGGCAAUAGGUUAUUGGACCCCCCCUCUGUCUACUCAAUUAAUAUAAACUCAAUUUAUUUUAAAACGAAUGUAAUGGAUGUAACACAUCUCAUAC
This 231-nucleotide unclassified non-coding RNA is filed under the name soil metagenome. RNAcentral's name for it is "partial internal transcribed spacer 1". The record is from RNAcentral.